UCUCUCCGACUCCGACUCUCCCUCUCUCGCCUCUCGGUCUCUCCGACUCCGACUUCUCCUUCUCUUCUCCGGCGAAUCCCCCCCUGUGCUCUGCCCCUCUGUGCUCCUGCCGCCCUACGUCAGUGUGCUCUCCGCCUCUCCGCCUGUAGCUGUUCCGGGCUCCUCUCAAGUUUCGAUAGGUCUUUCAGCGGGUGCUUGGGCAGCUGACGACGAAUGGCGGUUGAGGAUGGACGGCAGCUGGCAACUAGUGACGACGACGACUGGAGACGGACUGCGAGUGGGCGACGCCGAUGGCAGGUUUUUCUUUUGUUAGUUUGUUUGUUCCCUUUUGAUUUUAGGGUUCCCAUCUCCUUUAUUGUUGCAGGAUUUCUUCUUCUCUCUAGUUUCCCAAAAUUGAUGGCGCAUUCUGGCGGAAUUUCCUGCUCCCUGUUCAUGUUGUACUGUCGUGUUUUGAGCUUUUUCCCUUUUCUUGAUACAUUCAGUUCUCAACUUUGAUUUCCUGCUCCCUGGUAUGUUCGUUUUCUUUUUUCUCUGAAAACUGUAACUUGCAAUGCUUGAAAUAGACUACCUGCUCCCUAUUGAUGCCAUGUUCUGUUAUGUGUGCCUUUUUGUUAGGCUUCAUUCCCCUGUGCUUCAUACAUGUUCCCUUGUCUGCUUCCAUUUGAUUUCAUGUGUGGCUUUCUGUUAGAUUCUCUUCCAUUUGCUUCAUAUGCGGAACACAUGUGGUUUUGCAUAUGCCCUUGUCGAGUUUUCAGACAUGUUCAUUAAUUUGAUUAUAACUUAUAAGUUAUGCACUAUGUAGCUUACGAUUGUUGUUGACUUGUUGUUAUAUCAAUGUUGUUUUAUGUUUUUCAAGUACAUUUAAGUCACUUGCUUGUUUAAUUAUUAUUGUUAUGUUAUAGUAUGGCUGCCUCAAGUAAAGGGAAGGGAAGUACCUUUACACCUACAAGUUCAAGUUGUGCAUUGAGAGCUUCAUUACAGUCACAAGAGGACCAGCCACAUAGCUAAUUGACUGCCGUUCAUCCUAAUUUUCUCAGUCUGAGCAUGUUGUUAGCAUAUGUAUCAGAAAAGGAGGUGUAGAUACUGGCCAAGGACACAAUGAAUGGUUGGCUACAAUUCCACGCACUCCAGAUGUAAUUUCAAUAUCCUUUGUGCCUAUUUAAUACUUGUUUGAGUUCUUUCUCACUAUUGUUGGUGAUAGGAAGCUGAGUAAGGUUGUUCAGGGAAAUGUUAAGGAGCUGCUGUAUUAUGCUGUUGCUUUUCUGCAAAUGACUGAAGAGCAUGUAGGUUUUGAUCUCACAAGUGCAUCCAUAUUCUAUACUUUACUCAAAGAUCCAGUAAGAGAUGACAAGACUAUCAAGGUGUGGGAUGCGGUUACUGGUGCUAAACAAUAUACGUUUGAGUCAUGAAGCUCCUGUUUAGGCACUUGCUUCAAAAGGGUAUGUUAAUCGACAUACCCUCAAAAGGGUGCUGAAAGGGUAUGGCACAUGCGUGCUUCAGGUUGAUUGCUUCCAUGCUCUACGAAGAAGUGAUCCACCAUUUGUCUCUUCGGCAUCUUUCCUGCAGCAAGGAUUAUUUUCAUUUGUACGAUAACAAUAGCUUGGUUAAUUAUGUUGUUACAAGUUGAUUAUGAUAUCUUCACAUUCUUUAUUUUCAUAUUAUAUGGCUUGAAGAUGAUUCUAUUAUUUAUAUUUU
Long non-coding RNA from Nymphaea colorata (pocket water lily), 1695 nucleotides. RefSeq lists it as uncharacterized. Lineage: Eukaryota; Viridiplantae; Streptophyta; Magnoliopsida; Nymphaeales; Nymphaeaceae. The record is from RefSeq and is a predicted model, not a curated record. The transcript has 6 exons.